CGGGACGGGUGAGUAACACGUGGAUAACCUACCUAUAAGACUGGGAUAACUUCGGGAACCGGAGCUAAUACCGGAUAAUAUAUUGAACCGCAUGGUUCAAUAGUGAAAGACGGUUUUGCUGUCACUUAUAGAUGGAUCCGCGCCGCAUUAGCUAGUUGGUAAGGUAACGGCUUACCAAGGCAACGAUGCGUAGCCGACCUGAGAGGGUGAUCGGCCACACUGGAACUGAGACACGGUCCAG
RNAcentral lists this ribosomal RNA (241 nucleotides) under uncultured bacterium. RNAcentral's name for it is "partial 16S ribosomal RNA". It matches the Rfam family "Bacterial small subunit ribosomal RNA", at positions 100 to 334 of the family's 1533-position model. The record is from RNAcentral.